RNAcentral lists this ribosomal RNA (333 nucleotides) under uncultured bacterium. Its description in RNAcentral is "bacterial SSU rRNA". It matches the Rfam family "Bacterial small subunit ribosomal RNA", at positions 8 to 334 of the family's 1533-position model. The record is from RNAcentral.
AGGGUUCGAUUAUGGCUCAGGACGAACGCUGGCGGCGUGCUUAACACAUGCAAGUCGAACGGAGGGCGCGGAAGGCAACGGAAGCGCUCUUAGUGGCGGACGGGUGCGUAACGCGUGAGCAAUCUAUCCUGCGGAGGGGGAUAACAUCUGGAAACAGAUGCUAAUACCGCAUAAGACCACGUUCUCGCAUGAGAGAGGGGUCAAAGGAGAAAUCCGCGGCAGGGUGAGCUCGCGUCCCAUUAGAUAGUUGGUGAGGUAACGGCCCACCAAGUCAACGAUGGGUAGCCGAUCUGAGAGGAUGACCGGCCACAUUGGAACUGAGAAACGGUCCAG